This 460-nucleotide ribosomal RNA is filed under the name uncultured bacterium. Its description in RNAcentral is "bacterial SSU rRNA". It matches the Rfam family "Bacterial small subunit ribosomal RNA", at positions 440 to 914 of the family's 1533-position model. The record is from RNAcentral.
GGGGGANNAAGGGAUGACGGUACCCCGGGAGGAAGCCCCGGCUAACUACGUGCCAGCAGCCGCGGUAAUACGUAGGGGGCAAGCGUUGUCCGGAAUUAUUGGGCGUAAAGGGCGUGUAGGCGGCCUGUUAAGUCCUGUGGGAAAGGCAGGGGCUCAACCUCUGGAGAUCAUGGGAAACUGGCAGGCUCGAGGGCAGUANAGGGGUGUGGAAUUCCCGGUGUAGCGGUGAAAUGCGUAGAGAUCGGGAAGAACACCAGUGGCGAAGGCGACACUCUGGGCUGAACCUGACGCUGAGGCGCGAAAGCUAGGGGAGCGAACGGGAUUAGAUACCCCGGUAGUCCUAGCCGUAAACGAUGGGUACUAGGUGUUGGUGGGAUCGACCCCAUCGGUGCCGGAGUUCACACAAUAAGUACCCCGCCUGGGGAGUACGGUCGCAAGGCUGAAACUCAAAUGAAUUGAC